GAUGAACGCUGGCGGCGUGCUUAACACAUGCAAGUCGAACGGGAAAUACUUUAUUGAAACUUCGGUCGAUUUAAUUUAUUUCUAGUGGCGGACGGGUGAGUAACGCGUGGGUAACCUGCCUUAUACUGGGGGAUAACAGCCAGAAAUGACUGCUAAUACCGCAUAAGCGCACAGAACCGCAUGGUUCGGUGUGAAAAACUCCGGUGGUAUAAGAUGGACCCGCGUUGGAUUAGCUAGUUGGCAGGGCAGCGGCCUACCAAGGCGACGAUCCAUAGCCGGCCUGAGAGGGUGAACGGCCACAUUGGGACUGAGACACGGCCCAGACUCCUACGGGAGGCAGCAGUGGGGAAUAUUGCACAAUGGGGGAAACCCUGAUGCAGCGACGCCGCGUGAAGGAAGAAGUAUCUCGGUAUGUAAACUUCUAUCAGCAGGGAAGAUAAUGACGGUACCUGACUAAGAAGCCCCGGCUAACUACGUG
Molecule: ribosomal RNA, 478 nt
Filed under: uncultured bacterium
Lineage: Bacteria
Description: bacterial SSU rRNA
Rfam family: Bacterial small subunit ribosomal RNA
Source: RNAcentral